RNAcentral lists this ribosomal RNA (465 nucleotides) under uncultured bacterium. RNAcentral's name for it is "partial 16S ribosomal RNA". It matches the Rfam family "Bacterial small subunit ribosomal RNA", at positions 338 to 795 of the family's 1533-position model. The record is from RNAcentral.
CCUACGGGAGGCAGCAGUAGGGAAUCUUCCACAAUGGGCGCAAGCCUGAUGGAGCAACACCGCGUGAGUGAAGAAGGGUUUCGGCUCGUAAAGCUCUGUUGUUGGAGAAGAACGUGCGUGAGAGUAACUGUUCACGCAGUGACGGUAUCCAACCAGAAAGUCACGGCUACCUACGUGCCAGCAGCCGCGGUAAUACGUAGGUGGCAAGCGUUAUCCGGAUUUAUUGGGCGUAAAGAGAGCGCAGGCGGUUGCUUAGGUCUGAUGUGAAAGCCUUCGGCUUAACCGAAGAAGGGCAUCGGAAACCGGGCAACUUGAGUGCAGAAGAGGACAGUGGAACUCCAUGUGUAGCGGUGGAAUGCGUAGAUAUAUGGAAGAACACCAGUGGCGAAGGCGGCUGUCUGGUCUGCAACUGACGCUGAGGCUCGAAAGCAUGGGUAGCGAACAGGAUUAGAUACCCCAGUAGUC